RNAcentral lists this long non-coding RNA (1066 nucleotides) under Capra hircus (goat). RNAcentral describes it as "lncRNA (ENSCHIG00010013811.1)". Lineage: Eukaryota; Metazoa; Chordata; Mammalia; Artiodactyla; Bovidae. The record is from RNAcentral.
UGUGAGACUUUCGUCUUAUUUUUUUUAAUGUAUUCUGAGCACUUUUCUUUUAUAUUGUGAAAGAUAGAGGGUAUUAUCAGAUGAAUAUAUUAUUCAUUUGAUUAAAAUUAUUUAGAUAAGAAAUUAUUACUGUUUAUGUUUACUUUCAAACUGCUUAUUCUAAUUUUUAUCCAUUUUUCAAAUAUCAUUUGUAUAUGACUUCUUAUGUAUGGGAAUUUAUUAUGUAAAUGAACCUUUUCAGAUUUCUGGACAGUCUAUGGUUUGAUUUUAUAGGGUUUUUUUUUUUAGUAGGAUAAAGAUGAGAAAGAUGAUCAGUUACUUAAAAUGUAUCUAUUGUUGCUUACUUUAAAGAAGGAAAUAAAUAGAAACAAUUGGGAAAUGUUUGAAUUAGAAGUCACUCAAAUGUAUGUUAUUUUCCAAAAGAGAACCAGCCCUUCGGCAGUGCAGUUUCCAGAUUUGGGCCUUUCCACUGCACUGUCUUACCUGUAGAACAAAGAGAAGCAGAAGUCUUCCUGAAUGCUUUAUGAGACAAGACACAAACUCGUUAAAGAAGGAGUCCUCGAUCCAUUCUCCAGGCUGUUUUGUGAGCCUCACCAUCAAGCACAACACUUCACACAAUGGAUAUGAAAGGCAGAUGUUUAAGUGAAGGCUCUUUUGAGCAAAAAAGAAGGACUACCAGUCAUCAAAGAAUUCCAGAAGGCACAGUUCCUCGAGUCCAGACAAGACCAGCAAAUAAAACCAAAUUCCAGCGAGCUAGUAUUACCUGAUGUUCGUUAGUCUGGGGUGGGGGGGAUCAGAAUAGAAGUUUUCUUUAGAACUUAAUUAGAUUGGGAUGGUCGAUCUGCUCCUUAAGGAGGGGUGGGGGAAGCUGAGCAUUUAACAUUAGAGCAAAGAUCUUUUUCCCCAGGUCUCUGUAAGAGGACCCCCAACCCUAUCAAAAUGUGCGAUAAGGAAGUUACAUGUGUCAUUUUGAACUAGUUCAAACCAGCUAGGCUGCUCCCUGCUCUGAGCUGCUGGCUAUUAGCUGUCAUCCAGCCUGGAUGUGAGACAAGCAGGUGGAUAAGAG